RNAcentral lists this ribosomal RNA (253 nucleotides) under uncultured bacterium. RNAcentral describes it as "partial 16S ribosomal RNA". It matches the Rfam family "Bacterial small subunit ribosomal RNA", at positions 524 to 776 of the family's 1533-position model. The record is from RNAcentral.
UACGUAGGUGGCAAGCGUUGUCCGGAAUUACUGGGUGUAAAGCGCGUGUAGGCGGCAGACCAAGUCGGCGGUGAAAGCGCCCGGCUCAACUGGGCGAGGUCCGUGGAAACUGGUCAGCUGGAGGACGGUAGAGGCGAGUGGAAUUCCCGGUGUAGUGGUGAAAUGCGUAGAGAUCGGGAGGAACACCUGUGGCGAAGGCGGCCACCUGGACGGUCACUGACGCUGAGACGCGAAAGCGUGGGGAGCAAACAGG